This 477-nucleotide ribosomal RNA is filed under the name Triticum aestivum (bread wheat). Its description in RNAcentral is "partial small subunit ribosomal RNA". The record is from RNAcentral. Lineage: Eukaryota; Viridiplantae; Streptophyta; Magnoliopsida; Poales; Poaceae.
CUCAAGCUUCAGCCAUACGCGCAGUCUACGGUGGCUAAUCGCCCCUGCCCCAAGCUCGCCUACAAUUUCUCUGGACCGUUCACUGUCCUGCAACGCAUUGGCGCCAUGGCAUACAAGCUCCAGCUACCGGCCAACAGCUGGAUCCACCCAGUUUUCCACGUGUCACAGCUGAAGCCUUUCACGCCGGACUACUCGCCGGUCUUCUCCGAGCUGCCUCACGCGCCGGACCUCACCGCGGCUCCCCUCCAACCCGUGGCCAUCCUGGAUCGACGGAUGGUCAAGAAAGGCAACAGCUCGGUGGUUCAGGUGCGCGUUCAGUGGUCAUCUCUUUCUCCAGCGUCAGCAACCUGGGAGGACUACAACGUGCUGCGCCUUCGCUAUCCUACGGCACCUUGCUGGAAGGACGACGCUGCCGCUCAACGCGGGGCAACUGUCACACCUGAUAGACCUGAUACAAGUGUAUCGGUGGACAUGUAA